CCUACGGGAGGCAGCAGUGGGGAAUAUUGCACAAUGGGGGCAACCCUGAUGCAGCGACGCCGCGUGAGUGAAGAAGUAUUUCGGUAUGUAAAGCUCUAUCAGCAGGGAAGAGAAUGACGGUACCUGAGUAAGAAGCCCCGGCUAACUACAUGCCAGCAGCCGCGGUAAUACGUAGGGGGCAAGCGUUCUCCGGAUUUACUGGGUGUAAAGGGAGCGUAGACGGCGAAGAAAGUCUGAAGUGAAAGGCUGCGGUGCAACCGCGGAACUGCUUUGGAAACUUUUUUGCUGGAGUACAGGAGAGGUAAGCGGAAUUCCUAGGGUAGCGGUGAAAUGCGUAGAUAUUAGGAGGAACACCAGUGGCGAAGGCGGCUUACUGGACGGUAACUGACGUUGAGGCUCGAAAGCGUGGGGAGCAAACAGGAUUAGAUACCCUUGUAGUC
This 440-nucleotide ribosomal RNA is filed under the name uncultured bacterium. RNAcentral's name for it is "partial 16S ribosomal RNA". It matches the Rfam family "Bacterial small subunit ribosomal RNA", at positions 338 to 795 of the family's 1533-position model. The record is from RNAcentral.